This 341-nucleotide unclassified non-coding RNA is filed under the name plant metagenome. RNAcentral's name for it is "partial contains small subunit ribosomal RNA, internal transcribed spacer 1, and 5.8S ribosomal RNA". The record is from RNAcentral.
UUUCCGUAGGUGAACCUGCGGAAGGAUCAUUAUCGAAUAGCAAUCCGGGGGGGAGGCCACCGCGCGCAGUUUGGUAGAUCGUAGGGAUUGUCGCUGGCCUUUGGAAACGAAGGCAUGUGCACGUUCCGAGUUCUCCUUAGUCCUCCUUUGCCUUUCCUUUGGAAGACCCUUUCUUCACACCCGUGCACACAUUGUAGGUCUCCGCGAGGGGAGCUAUGUCUUCACAAAACUCUACGUAUGUCCAGGAAUGUAUCUAAAGCGGCGAACGGCUCGGCUCCAUGGCCGGUCGCAGACGGUAAAGCACCAUAAUACAACUUUCAGCAACGGAUCUCUUGGCUCUC